Molecule: non-coding RNA, 3829 nt
Organism: Coturnix japonica (Japanese quail)
Lineage: Eukaryota; Metazoa; Chordata; Aves; Galliformes; Phasianidae
Source: RefSeq, a predicted model, not a curated record
UCCCAACCCCGGACACCGCGGCGCUGCCCCGGCUCGGGGCGCUUCUCCGAAGCGUUCGGGGGGCAGCCCCGCUCCCUCCCUCCCUCCCUCGCCUCCCCCGCCGGCCGUUCCCGAUGCCGCCCCCCGGUUCGGGCCCUGCAGAGCGGCCGGCGGCUCCGGACGCUGCCGUCCCCGCAUUGUCCCGCAGCCGGGCGCGGAGGCUCCGCAUUGUUCCGCGCUCGCCCCGCAUUGUCCCGCGGCCGGGCGCCCCCUGGCGCGGGCUGUCCGCGCCGCAGCGCUCCAUUGUUCUGCGGGGCCGGGGCAGCUGCGGGGAGGCUGCGGAGCUGUUUGUUGCGGUGACUCCGCCGCUCUUUCAUUUCAAUCGGUCCCGAAGCGACGGGAGACGAAUCUUGGCCCGUUCAUGGGCGGCGGGUGAAUGCAGCUCGGGGCUUCGGAGCACUCCGAGCCCUGAGCCCGCACCGCGAGGCCCCGGCCGCCCCCGCCGCAGCACGGGGGGGGCCCUUCGGCGCGGGGCCCGGCGUACGCGGCCGCGUCGCCUUCCCAAACAAACGCGUACGAGGAGGGAAAUCGAUGCAGAUGAUGUUUAGAAGAUUAAAAGAGCAUUCACGCUGGCAACAUAAACGCGUGGACCCAGCGUUCAUUGAUCUGGAACCUGAGCCGGCUUGCUUCCAACAACACUACUGCUGUUCGGCUUUCCCCGCACCCCGCCUGCCUUCGACACCGUCUAACUCCGUCCUGCCGUUCCGGGGCUGCCCCGGGCCCGGCACGGAGCGGUAACUGUGAGCGCCAGGAGCCCGCUGUGCGCGGGGAGCGGCCGGCAUUGCCUUGUCCUGCCGGGCCAACAAGGCUCCCCCGCACCGCCGCCUCUGCGCUCCUUGGGGCUGGGGCUCGAGAUUUGAGCCUGCUCGUGUAUAGGAAGGGCGGUAAAAUACCCCUGAACCCGUUUUUGCUUCGGGCUGUGUCGACCAGAUGCAGCCGUGUCCGGUUCUGGUUCUGGUUCCGUUACCACCGCCGGGACUUCGGCUCCGUCAGACUGCGUUUCAGAUUGCUCUGUUUCGCUUUGAAACGCGGGUGCUGAAAAAAGCUGCUUGCUCUGCUCCUGGCUCCUUCUAACACCGCUCCCGGCCUCCGCUCCGUGCGGCCGACGCGCGACCAGCGGCUGCCCGGCCAGCGGGAGCCUUCACGGCCUCGGCUGGAGGGGAGGUAGAGUCAGCAACCCACCCGCUCCGUGCUCUUCCUGUAAGUUUUUCUUGUAAUGGACCCAAAUGUUCCAUCCUACGAGAAGAAACCCCUCUCCCAGGGGAGAUUAUUUUUAUAGGGCUCCAAAGCCUGGAGAUGGGGUCAGUGGAAGCUGUGCCCAAGGCAGAGCAGAGCUGGUUUUGGUGAAGAGACAUUAGAACUGAGACCCCACUCGGAAACCCAGGGAGCACCAUGUGCCUUUGCCGAGUCCUGGGAGGUGAAAUAGGGAGAGCGUUUCUGGGGACUGCCAUGAAUUUGGACAAGCCCUUCUGCUGAGGCUGCGGCUUCGCCCCUGGCCCUUGACCCAACAGGAGGCAGGGCUGCCAGGAGAAAAGAACCUAUACAGGGUGGCAAAACCUUUCACAUAAGUCCCAUUGAUCUGACCCUCAUCCCCCACUCCCUCCACAGAAGCCACAUCAUGAAAGCCCCUCUUUAUAGGUUCACCUUCCUGCCUGCUAUAUGCUUGUUUACAUGGCUGCAGCCAAGGCAGCCAGUGGCUUUCACCCGUGAUCUGAGUGAGCACCAAGGCUGGGAACCUUGAGGAGAAGAGGGCAUGGGAAGGAUGUGUCCCACUGCCCCACAGUUCUCCUGCGGCCCCAUGGAGGCCCUCAUGGUCCCCAGCCUUCUCUCUGAACUGCCUGCCCACACGGAAACGUCCCCAUGAAAUCUUUGUUUGCUCCGUCCUGGGUAGGGCAGUCUCUGCAUUUCUGCCAGGAUAAAAAAUAUUAAUGAUCACCAGGUGAGUCAAUGCAUUUAUCAGCACGGGGGGUUCGAAGGGCAGAGUUCAACUGUGGUUCAGGUUAAUUGGAUGCGGAGCCACGUCCUCAUGCUUGCGUUGCCUACAAAGUGCUCAACUGUGCCAUAUUAUCACCAAAUCCGUGGUAGGUAAACACAGGAAGAAUGUGAUUAAAAUAACUCUCGUGCCAUAUCCUUCUGCGUGUUAUCACGCUCAUGCAGGCUCUGAAUGCUGGGUAAGGAGCCCCUGUCGGCCACUUCUCACUGAACUGUGCUCAUCGUGGUGCCGGCCCGAUCAGCAGAGCGCGUUCUCCACUUGUUUACAUCUGCUUGCUGAAUCACGUUAUUGAUGAUUGCACGGUUUUGUACCGAAACACCAUGGGUGAUUCAUCAGCUGACCUUGCCGUGCUCAUGUUCCCUCGGUUACGUGGCGGCAGGAGGUUCUGGAAGCGAUAUCAGCCGACUCGGGUCCCACAUCUCCCUGAGUGUCCCCGCGCGUGUCUCCGUGUCCCUUCCCGUGUCCCCGUGUGCGCAGCGGCCGCAACGCUCCUUCAGCACCACGGACAGCAGCAGCACAGACACGGCGCUCGCGGGCGCUGUCCGUGGUGCUGCAAGCGGGGCGCGCUGCCUGCAGGCAGAAUGAGCGCUGCUGCCCGUCUGCCCUCCGUUCUACACAUGGAUUUCCUUCCACUGAAUUUUGAGACUAAUUUGGUAGUCUGUAGAUGUAACUACAACUAACACGUAAUAGCACCUGUAUCAAACCUGUUUUGUAUACGUACUGCUGUUUCUUAGCAUUGAAAUGAACAUACAGGCUUGUAAAGACCAUUUGAAAGGUGUUUAGUGACUUGAAAUGUUAGUAGUUUCUUCAGUUUCUUGUGCUGUUCAGUAGUGUCUGAACAAUCUGCUCAGUAAAUCGUGAAGCUGAGUGGUAAGUCAUAUCUCUCAAGUCCCAACUUUGUGAAAUAACAUCCCGCCGUGUCUUUUUGUUCCUCGUUAUUUCAGCAGACACUAAAUGCUCUGCAGACAUUUGAAUGCUGUUUUUGUUAACCAGGAAGUUUUUGUCAUCCUCUUGGUCAGCUGACAAAGAAAAAUCUGACCACUUUCGUCAUUAAGUACGUUUCUAUCUCUUUUUCACUCUACUAUUUUAGUAAGAAACUAUUUGUCUGCGAAGAUAUGUUACUCUGAGAUCUUCUAAUUUCUGUUCUUCACUAUUUUUAAAUUUUUUUCAGCAUUACUUCUUUUUUUCCCACCUAAUAUUCUGUUCUUAUCUCCCCUUCACCUGGGUAAAACAAACAAACAACCAACCAACAACAAGAACAAAACCAACAAACCAACAACCCUCAAAUAUUUUUCUACAUUUAAAAAACAACAGAAUUUGUUUGUGGCAAGGAACUGUAAAGGAGAGAAAAUAUUUGGCUGAAGGAUUAUUUCCCAAUAACUUCACAUCGUUCUUUCCUUGCUCUUUGUAGUGGCAUUUUUACUCAAACCUUGCACUUCUUUUUUUCUGCACGGAAUUUCUGCACGGAAUGUUCCUGCCAUCUAUCCAUUGCAAGGGGCUUUCUCAUCCCUUACAAAGCAAUCUUUGGAUUGGAAGCCGAGCUCUGCAGGAUUGUGGAGCAUUAAUCUGACAGGGAAAGCAGGAAAAGGUCUUGCAGUGCCACCAGUCUGCCCCAUUCCUCAGGAAUUGUCAGUGAUGGGGAUUUUCUGGCUACCUAGGCAAUCUCUCCCAGAGCUUGCAGGUACAAAAAUCCUUAAUGACUAGCCUUAAUCUCCCUUUUUGUCUUUUAAAUCCUUUACUUCUCAUCUUAUCCCCACUAGACAGAGGGGGAAAAAAAAAAAAAAAAAAAAAAAAAAA